This 497-nucleotide ribosomal RNA is filed under the name uncultured bacterium. RNAcentral describes it as "partial 16S ribosomal RNA". It matches the Rfam family "Bacterial small subunit ribosomal RNA", at positions 28 to 507 of the family's 1533-position model. The record is from RNAcentral.
GAUGAACGCUGGCGGCGUGCCUAAUACAUGCAAGUCGAGCGAACAGAUAAGGAGCUUGCUCCUUUGACGUUAGCGGCGGACGGGUGAGUAACACGUGGAUAACCUACCUAUAAGACUGGGAUAACUUCGGGAAACCGGAGCUAAUACCGGAUAACAUAUUGAACCGCAUGGUUCAAUAGUGAAAGGCGGCUUUGCUGUCACUUAUAGAUGGAUCCGCGCCGUAUUAGCUAGUUGGUAAGGUAACGGCUUACCAGGGCAACGAUACGUAGCCGACCUGAGAGGGUGAUCGGCCACACUGGAACUGAGACACGGUCCAGACUCCUACGGGAGGCAGCAGUAGGGAAUCUUCCGCAAUGGGCGAAAGCCUGACGGAGCAACGCCGCGUGAGUGAUGAAGGUCUUCGGAUCGUAAAACUCUGUUAUCAGGGAAGAACAAAUGUGUAAGUAACUGUGCACAUCUUGACGGUACCUGAUCAGAAAGCCACGGCUAACUACGUG